AGUGAACGCUGGCGGUAGGCCUAACACAUGCAAGUCGAACGGCAGCACAGUAAGAGCUUGCUCUUACGGGUGGCGAGUGGCGGACGGGUGAGGAAUACAUCGGAAUCUACUUUUUCGUGGGGGAUAACGUAGGGAAACUUACGCUAAUACCGCAUACGACCUACGGGUGAAAGCAUGGGAUCUUCGGACCUUGCGCGAUUGAAUGAGCCGAUGUCGGAUUAGCUAGUUGGCGGGGUAAAGGCCCACCAAGGCGACGAUCCGUAGCUGGUCUGAGAGGAUGAUCAGCCAAACUGGAACUGAGAAACGGUCAAGACUCCUACGGGAGGCAGAGUGGGGAAUAUUGGACAAUGGGCGCAAGCCUGAUCCAGCCAUACCGCGUGGGUGAAGAAGGCCUUCGGGUUGUAAAGCCCUUUUGUUGGGAAAGAAAAGCAGCAGGUUAAUACCCCGCUGUUCUGACGGUACCCAAAGAAUAAGCACCGGCUAACUUCGUG
This 491-nucleotide ribosomal RNA is filed under the name uncultured bacterium. Its description in RNAcentral is "partial 16S ribosomal RNA". It matches the Rfam family "Bacterial small subunit ribosomal RNA", at positions 29 to 507 of the family's 1533-position model. The record is from RNAcentral.